GGUUGAGUACUUUAACCUAAAAGAGUUAACUUGCACCUAACAAUAGGGCUCAAACGUGCCCCUCAACCCC
RNAcentral lists this transfer RNA (70 nucleotides) under Pronodularia japanensis. RNAcentral's name for it is "tRNA-Ala". Lineage: Eukaryota; Metazoa; Mollusca; Bivalvia; Unionida; Unionidae. The record is from RNAcentral.